GUUACUUAUUUUUAACUUAACCUCAGAAGCUGACCCACAUCUUCGUUUUAUUUUUUUUCUUUAAAACAGAAGUCAACAUUUUGGUAUCCCUUCUGCCGGGCAAAUGCUUCAUUCUUUUGAGUGGGUGAUUGGGGAGAUGAUAUUUUUGCCCCCAAAUGUGGAAAUGUAGUCAACUAUAUCUACUGAAUAUAUAUUAUUUCAGAGAGGAAGGGAGAGGGAGGGAGGGAGGGAGGGAUAGAAACAGUGAUGAUGAGAAAGAAUUCUUUAUUGGCUUCCUCCUGCACGCCCCCUUCUGGAGAUUGAGCCCGCAGCCCACGCAUGUGCCCUGACCAGGAGCCACAUCCAACGGUGCUGCUUUUGCUUUUGUUCUCAUCACUUACAAACGCAUCGGGACUGUCCAUUUAUGUCCACAAACCCUACCCUGCAGCAUGCCUGCUACCCAGUUCUGCUUCCUACAUGUCUACCCGGACUUACUUAGCCAAGCCCCUAGCAGUGAGGGGCAUGUUGCAGGUGGUCUGUGUUGACCCAGAUAGAUGCUCACGUGGUGGUUCCGUUAGAGCAAUGCAUCACUUACAGUCUGCCCCGGUCUGUCCCAGGUGAGUGUGCUCACAGCCCCCCUCUCCUUUCCC
Molecule: long non-coding RNA, 629 nt
Organism: Pipistrellus kuhlii (Kuhl's pipistrelle)
Lineage: Eukaryota; Metazoa; Chordata; Mammalia; Chiroptera; Vespertilionidae
Exons: 2
Source: RefSeq, a predicted model, not a curated record